GAUAAUGGUGGGAGAUGGGCGCGGCUAACCGCAUACUCCUUCAUUGUAAAUAUUCGUAUAUAUAUUUGUUUUAGGAAAAAGGAAGACACCUGCCCGCUGCGUUCCACUGGCCGGCCGGCCGGCGAAAGCACUGCUUGCAGUGUCCGGUUGUCCCCAUCUGCACUGUUACUGUACCCCCAAUAAUAUAGGGUCUGUUUGGUUGUAUGGCUUAAGCUAAUCCGGCUAGGAUUUAGAGCCAGGCCAGACUAAGCCUGUCUUGUCUUCUACUAGUACAUUCGCUCAUGUUUAGUUGUAUGUAUAAGUGGAGCCUGGUUUGCUUUUGCUGUGUUUAGUUUGGUUGCAUAUAUGGGUGGGUGGCAUUACGUCCUCUUCCCAAGCGGUGAGCCAUCGGCUCGUCACCUCCUUUCUUCUCUAUUCUUCUCGCUUCCGCCACCGUGAGAUCCACCGGCCGUGGGCAUCGACCGAGACCGAGCAGGAGCCGUGCGCCUGAGGUCCGCCGCUGUAGGAUCAAAGCAUACCGUAGGCGUAGACGGUUUUAAUCACUAGGAUGACAACUAGCAAUUCAAUCUCUAUUAAGAUAAAAUGCUCGAAGUAAAUUGCAUUAAAAAAUUAAGCAAAGAAUUAACCGUGCACGAGACAACAAUUUUUCCUGAAGUGUCAAUGACUUGCCGGUAAUCCCUAGCCCAUGUUGCGGUGUAUUCAGUGCUUUCAACCGCUCCUCUAUCAAGAAUCAAUCUUGAUCUUGAGCCGGCUUGAAUCAAUGAGCCUCUCCAAACCUAAAGUUGCUCUUCGUCACUCCAGCGAGGUGAGCAUAAAAACCUCUCACAAAACAAACCGGAGCACCUCCACAAUCUUCUUGAAGGGCUCAACGGUUUCACCUUCUCCAAACCGUCUAGGAGACGGAAACCUCCGAUAGUAAAAAGUCGAUGACGCUUAAUUGAAGACUCCUUAGUGUCACGAAGCUCAAACACUUAGAUGGAAUGUAACAGGAUGCUCUCGUACUCUUAAGAAUGCAACCACUAAGCAAACUGAGUGAGAGAGAGAGGAGGGAGCUGGCUCUUUUAUGACAAGGAAGCUUUCAAAU
Molecule: long non-coding RNA, 1084 nt
Filed under: Panicum hallii
Lineage: Eukaryota; Viridiplantae; Streptophyta; Magnoliopsida; Poales; Poaceae
Description: long non-coding RNA (PHAL_LNC000001)
Source: RNAcentral